CGGGGACUAGCUCAGUCCGGUUAGAGCGCUCGCUUUGGGAGCGAGAGGUCCGCGGUUCGAAUCCGCGGUCCCCGACCA
This 78-nucleotide transfer RNA is filed under the name Candidatus Woykebacteria bacterium RBG_19FT_COMBO_43_10. Its description in RNAcentral is "tRNA-Pro". It matches the Rfam family "tRNA". Rfam says of the family: Transfer RNA (tRNA) molecules are approximately 80 nucleotides in length. Their secondary structure includes four short double-helical elements and three loops (D, anti-codon, and T loops). Lineage: Bacteria; Candidatus Woykeibacteriota. The record is from RNAcentral.